Portunus trituberculatus (swimming crab) is the source of this 1217-nucleotide long non-coding RNA. RefSeq lists it as uncharacterized. The record is from RefSeq and is a predicted model, not a curated record. The transcript has 3 exons. Lineage: Eukaryota; Metazoa; Arthropoda; Malacostraca; Decapoda; Portunidae.
CGAUACCUGAAAUUGUAAUGAUUAGGAAUGCUUUAUUCCUACUAGGUAGUUAGGUUGGUAGGUAGGUAGCCAACCACGUACUUGUUACUUGGUGAAUAACAAAAGUGGCUCCAUACAACAGUAAAACAGCUCCAUGAAAUUUUGCAUGCUUAGCUACGUAGUAGUUGCAUUAUUUCAAUCUAUCGUUCAUGUAUACAUAGGCACUUCAAUAGAGAUUAGCUUAUAUCUACGUACCUAACACUUAAUAUUUUCUUGAUUAUGUUUCAAGAUAAAAAGUUUAUUUUUCAUGCAAUUUUCCAUAAAUAGAUAAAAAAGAAGUGAAAUAAUAAAUUUAAAUAAGUACGAAUUCUCUGCUGAGUGAUAUCCAAUAAUCCAAGGAAUAAUAGAGUCCUUGGUGAGAUCCCUGCAAACACUUAGCGCGGUCGCCUCACGGCCUCAGCCACCUCGUGACCUCAGUGUUUGCUGAGAACGUGAAAGAGGGAGGAGGUGCAUUUUCUUGAAAUGCCCGUAACCCCUGUGUAACUACAUAUACAUAUACUCGUGUUCUGAUACAAUGGUGUGCCCCUCAAAGUGUUCACUACUGUCUGCUGUGCUUUCUCACCAAGUGACCAAGAGGAACGCUGCCAAACAGAGAAAUCGCGCGUGAACAAGUAUCAGCACAAAUAGAAAAAAAAAUGAAGCUGCCACACCUUUCACAGCCGAGGGCCGCCCACACAGGGUCGUCAGUGAGCUCUUCUGCAAUUAAUAGAGCAGCCAGUCUCAUAUGGAUGGCUAUAUUUGUACACUCCAGUUGAUUGACAGUCUCAAGUGAAGGAUGGGGGCAAGAUGUGGCAGGGUAACAUCCCAUGGAAUACACCCUUGAUCUCUGAGAUAAAUAUACUUUAUAUCUGCUUUUGUUAUGUUCUAUUAUACUUUUAUGCAAUAUUUGUUAAUUAUAAAUACCUCUUUUACCUAAAACCUCGUAAAAAGAAUUUGGGGUAUUUUUUGGAAGGCAUUUAAACUAAUUUCAAUGUGGAAAAUUUAUUGAGUUACAAGUAAAUUGAGAUGUGAGGUCCGUCACGGAACGAAUUAAAAUCGUAUCUCGAGGUACCACUGUAUUAUAUUGCAAGAAAGGUUUUAAUCAUUAAUUUUCAUAAACAAAUGAUACCUCUAAAAAUGCCUCCUAUACUUGUGUACUAAUGAUAAAAUGUAACUUAAAAUUAAAUGAACUACAAAAA